This 1692-nucleotide long non-coding RNA is filed under the name Piliocolobus tephrosceles (Ugandan red Colobus). Its description in RNAcentral is "lncRNA (ENSPTEG00000028991.1)". The record is from RNAcentral. Lineage: Eukaryota; Metazoa; Chordata; Mammalia; Primates; Cercopithecidae.
AGAUGUUUUGUAUAUUUUUAUUUUCCACAUGUGAUAUAUAAUUGCAUUUAAAAACUUUUUUACAUACAUCUAUUUAUAUGUGGUUAAAAAAAGGGAAGACUUAAAAAUUAAUGUAGUACAUUUUAUAUUUACUUUUUUAAUAUAAUUAGAAUGUAACAAAAAUAGCAUAACAAUGUCAACCCCAGUUUUGUAAACGUUACUUUAGAUACAUAUCGGAUGUUCAUUUUGACGCGUGUCGUCAUUGCAUAUAUAAAUUGUGUUUUUACUAUUAAAAAAAAAAAAAAAAAAAAAAAAAAGUAGCUGUAAAUAAAUGUAGAACAAGCUAUUUGAUGCAUCAUGUAAAACACAUUCGUAGUGGUUUUAUGUAAAACAUUAUACAUAUUAAAAAAAAUAAAAAAAUGUACAUGUAUAAUUUGAUCAAAAAUUGCAUGCACAUUGAUAAUGUAAAAAAAAAAAAAAAAAAGCAAUACUAUAAAAACGCAUUAGAAACCACUAAUACAAUUAAAAUAUGUUUAUUUGUAAAUGGCGUUAUUUAUGUUAUUAUUUUUAACUUUUCAUAACAAAAUAUAUUUACAUUUACAAUUAUUGUUUGUGUUAUAAUUUUAAUUUGAAAAAAUUUUAGUUUGUAACUAAAUAUAUAAAAAUAUUUGAUAGUUUUAUAUUACACAUAUUGUCAUACGGAGUAAAAUAUAUUUGUAAAGCUAUAUAUAUUUUUGUCAUUUAUCUGUACAAUUAGAAAAGCAUAAUUGAGCAGUAUGGCAGAAGGAAAUCCACAAGAAAAUAAUAAUAAUACACCAAGUUUAACUACAUUUCUUGAGUUAACUAAUGGAACGGAUGGUACUUUACAGGAUGUGGAUAGUAACCAAACGAUUAUUUCGACACAUCAUCGAAUUCGUAAAGACUUAACAGAUAAUCCGAAUGCUAUGCAACUAACUGGCUUAUUCAUCUAUAAGAUGCAAGCAUUUGUAGUGUUGCUAGCGAUUAUUGUAUUUAUUAUUUGUGUGCUUCUUAUAUUUUGCGAAAGAUGCAGAGUAAGAUUAAUAAAAAAAAUUAUGUAAUAUAUAUUUAUACAUUCUUCAUUUGUAUAUAGUUACAUAUAAGUAGUUGCAUUAUUAUAUAAUAAUGAGUUUUGCAUAUUUUUUUUUUUAUAACAGAGACAUUGUCAUAGAUUAAAACAAGGACGUAGAUCAGGAUGUGGUCGUCGUAGACGACGAUAAACUCGCUCGAUAUGGUAACACAACAAACAUAAGGAUUUAUUUAAUUAAGCAUCAUUAUGUGUGUGAAAAAGCGUAGUACGCUAAAACUUCAAAUAAUAGCACAAAUUUAAAUUCAAUUAUUUUGUGAUUUUUGAAAUUGUAAAAAUAUGCAAACAGUAAAAAUGUUUCCAUAUAUUAUUAAUUUAUAUGUUAUGUGCAUUUUUAACAUUAUUAGCAAUUGAUAUAACAAGUUUAAGAUUAACAAUAACUAAUUGAACUUGUUUUUUUAGUUUAUUUGUAACUUAUUAUAUUUUUUUUUUAUUUACCAAAAAAAAAAUAAUUCGAUAGAUUUUUACUUUAACAUGUUUUUAUUAUGCAUUCACAGUGUCAAUGCUUGCAUGUUUGUUUGACGUGGCACAAAAUGUAGCUUGUAAUUUUUGUAUUUUUACAUAUAUUAUGAAAUAAAGUAUGUUUAUAUAAAUAUUGAAUAACUUAU